This 433-nucleotide ribosomal RNA is filed under the name uncultured bacterium. RNAcentral's name for it is "partial 16S ribosomal RNA". It matches the Rfam family "Bacterial small subunit ribosomal RNA", at positions 30 to 507 of the family's 1533-position model. The record is from RNAcentral.
AAUGAACGCUGGCGGCAUGCCUAACACAUGCAAGUCGAACGAGACCUCCGGGACCAGUGGCGCACGGGGGUGUAACGCGUGGGAACCUGCCCUCAGGGUCGGCAUAACUACCAGAAAGGGGUGAUAAUACCGGAUAAUGUCUUCGGACCAAAGAUAUAUCGCCACUGGAUGGGCCCGCGUUGCAUUAGCUAGUUGGUAGGGUAAAAGCUUAAUAAGGCGACAAUGAAUAGCUGGGAUGAGAGGAAGGUCAGCCACACUAAGACUGAGACACGGCCCAGAAUCCUACGGGAGGGGGCAGUGGGGGACGGUGGAAAAUGGGGGAAGUGCUGAAGGAGCUAUGACCGGAGAGUGAUGUAGUCCUUGAAGAAGAAAUGCGCUUUUACCCAGGAAGAUAAUGACGGUACCGGAUGAAAAAGCCCCGGCUAACUCCGUG